GCCUAUUUCUUUAGCUUGGUGUCUGUGUCCUUUGAGUUAGCCCCGUCGAUUGGCAAAACAGGCAGGCAGAAAUUUUUUUGUGUGGCCUCCCCGGGAACAGCCGGUUGUGUUUCCUCCCGUUAGUUUUUUCUUGCAGGUGAAGAGGAAGGCGGCAACUGCAGGAACGUGCUAGUUAGCUGCCGUGCUGCUUUUGUCGAGGAUGGAAUCGGACCUCCGUCCCUCUGAAAGCUAAGUCGAGCGAACGGGGCCGAGAGGAGGGGCCGAGGUUGGGAAUUGCAGGGAAGUGUUUGAAAGUUAGCACGGGGAGAAGGCUG
Long non-coding RNA from Tyto alba (common barn owl), 314 nucleotides. RefSeq lists it as uncharacterized. Lineage: Eukaryota; Metazoa; Chordata; Aves; Strigiformes; Tytonidae. The record is from RefSeq and is a predicted model, not a curated record. The transcript is spliced from 2 exons.